GGCACCUGCGCCGUGAGGGGGGCGGUGCCUCAGCGCGGGAAACCCGCCAAAAACAAAUAAUGGAGAAAAAACCCCACUUUUGUGUGGUGAUUGUAGAGUUCCGGUGGAAAAUAAGUAAUGGUCUGAGGAAAACCCCCACUUUUGUGUGGCGAUUAUGGAGCUCCGAUGGAAAAUAAAUAAUGUUCUGAGGAAAACCCCCACUUUUGUGUGGCGAUUGUGGAAUUCCGCGGAAGUGUCUGAAGCAGAAUAUCGUGGAAUUAUGGAAGAGUCGGCGCUGGAAAAGGAUUUUAAAGGUGAGCAAAGCCAAAUUCCCAGAGUUUGAAGGGAUGAGCAGGAGUGAUACAAUCCAAACUGACCCAGCCACCCACA
Non-coding RNA from Taeniopygia guttata (zebra finch), 369 nucleotides. Lineage: Eukaryota; Metazoa; Chordata; Aves; Passeriformes; Estrildidae. The record is from RefSeq and is a predicted model, not a curated record.